UACGUAGGGGGCGAGCGUUGUCCGGAUUUAUUGGGCGUAAAAGGCUUGUAGGCGGCCACCGUGCGUCGUGCGUGAAAUCUCCCGGCUUAACUGCGGGCUUGCGGUCGAUACGGGCAUCACUGGAGUUCGGCAGGGGAGACUGGAAUUCCUGGUGUAGCGGUGAAAUGCGCAGAUAUCAGGAGGAACACCGGUGGCGAAGGCGGGUCUCUGGGCCGAUACUGACGCUGAGGAGCGAAAGCGUGGGGAGCGAACAGG
RNAcentral lists this ribosomal RNA (255 nucleotides) under uncultured bacterium. RNAcentral's name for it is "partial 16S ribosomal RNA". It matches the Rfam family "Bacterial small subunit ribosomal RNA", at positions 524 to 776 of the family's 1533-position model. The record is from RNAcentral.